This 86-nucleotide transfer RNA is filed under the name Ricinus communis (castor bean). It matches the Rfam family "tRNA". Rfam says of the family: Transfer RNA (tRNA) molecules are approximately 80 nucleotides in length. Their secondary structure includes four short double-helical elements and three loops (D, anti-codon, and T loops). The record is from Rfam by way of RNAcentral. Lineage: Eukaryota; Viridiplantae; Streptophyta; Magnoliopsida; Malpighiales; Euphorbiaceae.
CCGACCUUAGCUCAGUUGGUAGAGCGGAGGACUGUAGUGUGAUUGCUGUAAUCCUUAGGUCGCUGGUUCGAAUCCGGCAGGUCGGA